CAACCUCAACUCAUAUGGGACUACCCCCUGAAUUUAAGCAUAUUAAUUAGGGGAGGAAAAGAAACUAACAAGGAUUUUCUUAGUAGCGGCGAGCGAAAAGAAAUUCAUUUCCCCACUAAGUCACUUUUGUCUAUAUGGCAAAUGUGAGAUGGCAUGGAUUGGAGCGUCAAUAUUUCCUAUAUGAGAAAUUAACGAUUUAAUUCCCCUUCUUAAAUUGAGGCCCAUUACCCCCAAAAAGGGGGGCCAGGGCCCCGUUUACCGUUUAUGAUUUCCUUAAUAUAAUUUUUUCCAAAGAAGUCUUGGGUGUCCUGGUUUAGUGUCACCCCCCCUAAGUUGGGGGGGGUUAAUAC
RNAcentral lists this non-coding RNA (350 nucleotides) under Drosophila ananassae. Its description in RNAcentral is "Eukaryotic large subunit ribosomal RNA". It matches the Rfam family "Eukaryotic large subunit ribosomal RNA", at positions 1 to 294 of the family's 3401-position model. The record is from Rfam by way of RNAcentral. Lineage: Eukaryota; Metazoa; Arthropoda; Insecta; Diptera; Drosophilidae.